Molecule: ribosomal RNA, 253 nt
Filed under: uncultured bacterium
Lineage: Bacteria
Description: partial 16S ribosomal RNA
Rfam family: Bacterial small subunit ribosomal RNA
Source: RNAcentral
UACAGAGGGUGCGAGCGUUAAUCGGAAUUACUGGGCGUAAAGCGUGCGUAGACGGCUAUCUAAGUCGGGUGUGAAAGCCUCGGGCUCAACCUGGGAAUUGCAUUCGAGACUGAAUAGCUAGGGUACGGUAGAGGGAAGCGGAAUUUCCGGUGUAGCGGUGAAAUGCGUAGAUAUCGGAAGGAACAUCAGUGGCGAAAGCGGCUUCCUGGACCAGUACCGACGUUCAGGCACGAAAGCGUGGGGAGCAAACAGG